RNAcentral lists this ribosomal RNA (585 nucleotides) under Botryosphaeria dothidea. Its description in RNAcentral is "eukaryotic LSU rRNA". The stretch from base 213 to 366 matches the Rfam family "5.8S ribosomal RNA". Lineage: Eukaryota; Fungi; Ascomycota; Dothideomycetes; Botryosphaeriales; Botryosphaeriaceae. The record is from RNAcentral.
AUCCUGUAGGUGAACCUGCGGAAGGAUCAUUACCGAGUUGAUUCGGGCUCCGGCCCGAUCCUCCCACCCUUUGUGUACCUACCUCUGUUGCUUUGGCGGGCCGCGGUCCUCCGCGGCCGCCCCCCUCCCCGGGGGGGUGGCCAGCGCCCGCCAGAGGACCAUCAAACUCCAGUCAGUAAACGAUGCAGUCUGAAAAACAUUUAAUAAACUAAAACUUUCAACAACGGAUCUCUUGGUUCUGGCAUCGAUGAAGAACGCAGCGAAAUGCGAUAAGUAAUGUGAAUUGCAGAAUUCAGUGAAUCAUCGAAUCUUUGAACGCACAUUGCGCCCUUUGGUAUUCCGAAGGGCAUGCCUGUUCGAGCGUCAUUACAACCCUCAAGCUCUGCUUGGUAUUGGGCACCGUCCUUUGCGGGCGCGCCUCAAAGACCUCGGCGGUGGCGUCUUGCCUCAAGCGUAGUAGAACAUACAUCUCGCUUCGGAGCGCAGGGCGUCGCCCGCCGGACGAACCUUCUGAACUUUUCUCAAGGUUGACCUCGGAUCAGGUAGGGAUACCCGCUGAACUUAAGCAUAUCAAUAAGCGGAGGA